GAUGAACGCUGGCGGCGUGCCUAAUACAUGCAAGUCGAGCGAACGGACGAGAAGCUUGCUUCUCUGAUGUUAGCGGCGGACGGGUGAGUAACACGUGGAUAACCUACCUAUAAGACUGGGAUAACUUCGGGAAACCGGAGCUAAUACCGGAUAAUAUAUUGAACCGCAUGGUUCAAAAGUGAAAGACGGUCUUGCUGUCACUUAUAGAUGAAUCAGCGCUGCAUUAGCUAGUUGGUAAGGUAACGGCUUACCAAGGCAACGAUGCAUAGCCGACCUGAGAGGGUGGUCGGACACCCUGGAACUGAGACACGGUCCAGACUCCUACGGGAGGCAGCAGUAGGGAAUCUUACGCAAUGGGCGAGAGCCUGACGGAGCAACGCCGCGUGAGUGAUGAAGGUCUUCGGAUCGUAAAACUCUGUUAUUAGGGAAGAACAUAUGUGUAAUUAACUGUGCACAUCUUGACGGUACCUAAUCAGAAAGCCACGGCUAACUACGUG
RNAcentral lists this ribosomal RNA (497 nucleotides) under uncultured bacterium. RNAcentral describes it as "partial 16S ribosomal RNA". It matches the Rfam family "Bacterial small subunit ribosomal RNA", at positions 28 to 507 of the family's 1533-position model. The record is from RNAcentral.